UGUUAGGGCAGGUACUCUGCUGUCAGAUUCGGACCCUGUGGAUUGGAAUGUAGCUCCGCCGCGUCUGGCUGUGUGACCUGGGGCGUGCUCCUUAAACACUGAACUGCACGUCCCGGGUAAAAUGGGGUUGAUUUGACUCAUCAGUGAAUCUAGAGAAGAAGCUCUUCCACAGGAGAAUAUCCAGCAGCAUCUGGAAAGGAAAGACAGAGUAUUCUUUACCUAACAGAUUUCAUUGGAACUAAGUGAAACAAAGAGGAAGCCAAGCCUGGGCCAUGUCUACAAAACCCUGAUGACAGAGUGAACAGCAGAUAGAGGGGAACUGAGGCAAGAUGCUGGCAUGUUCAGGGAAAAGCAUAACAGCAAAACCAACAAGGCGGAGAAGACAGGGAUGAGGUCAGAGAGGAGCACUGGGAGUGGCAGGAGGGAUCUGUUAGCCCUGGGGAAGAAUCUGGGCUUUGCUGUGUCACCUGAAACCAUCUUAGGUGUUUGAACUGUGGGGUGGCUUGCACUGUCUUGAAGGCAAGACCCUCUUCUGGUUUCUGAGAAUAAAAUGUGGAUGGGCGAGGACUAAGGCAGCAGAGGCCAUCUGAGAUAGAAAAGGACAAUAAAAACUACAGCAAAAGAUGAUGCUAUUUGGGUGAGAGCAGUGGUGGAGAGGCAGUGAGGCCUCACAGAUACCAGAUAAAAGUAUAAUUUAGGGCCCCGGCACUGGUGGAUAUAUGACAUAUGGGUUUAAGUGAAAGAGAGACAGCAAGGAUGACAGCAAGAACACUUUCCUAAGCUACUGGUAUGAUGUGGUUGCCAUUAACUGAAAACCAGAAAGAUUGGAGAGGGAGAAGAUUGCAAAGCAGAAGAAUGGGAGAAUAGUGAUUCCAAAUGACUCCCAGGUACAAAGGCUAAGUGACCCCACAGGCAACUGGACAUCCCAGACUGUAGAUCAGGAGUGUGGGACCAGGCUGGAUAUAUACAAUGAUGAGCCAUCAGCACAGUGAUGCUAUUUAAAGUCAUCAGACUAUAUAAACUUCCCUCUGAAAUAAGUUUAGAAAAUAAAAACAAAGAAGAAUGAAAACAAACUAUCAAAGGAGUCUGCAAAGGAAUGGUUCCUGAUGUAGGAGGAUAAAUGAGACAAUGUGGUGUUCUAGAAGCCAAAUGAAGACAGCUUUAAAACUAGACAAGAGUGGGGAUGAACAAGGCCAAUGAUUACUCCAAUAUUAAAUUAAGGUGAAGGCUAAGAAUUAAACUUUGGAUCUAGGAAGAGGCCAAUGGUGACUGACCAUGGCAAAGUUGGGAGAAGGGGAAGAUGGCUUGUAUGAGUUCUACAUAGAAUUGGAGGAGAAGAAUUGAAAACUAUAAAUAUUGAUAUAAAUUGGAAAAGAGAAAUAGAGUGGCUUGAGGAGAAUAUAUGGUAAAAAAAAAAAGGUAUUAUUUAUUUUCGAGAAGCAAAAAUUACAAAAUAAUAGUGAGGAGAAAUUCUCAGUGCAUGAGGGGGCAUUGGUCAAUGUCUAGAGGUAUAUCCGUGUGUAGAAGAUGGUAGAUAGAUUCUAGUGCAAGGGGGAGGGUUUGGUGUGAAAGGGGCAUGGGCAGUGAGCAUGCCUAUGGCAUCAGGAGAGAAGGCCAGGGCAUAGACACACACAGCAUGCAGGUGGACAGGUGUGGAGAAAAUAUGGAAGAUCCCUUCUGAUU
Lemur catta (Ring-tailed lemur) is the source of this 1683-nucleotide long non-coding RNA. RefSeq lists it as uncharacterized. The record is from RefSeq and is a predicted model, not a curated record. The transcript is spliced from 3 exons. NCBI's taxonomy places the organism in Eukaryota, Metazoa, Chordata, Mammalia, Primates, Lemuridae.